Molecule: long non-coding RNA, 898 nt
Filed under: Ananas comosus (pineapple)
Lineage: Eukaryota; Viridiplantae; Streptophyta; Magnoliopsida; Poales; Bromeliaceae
Description: long non-coding RNA (ACOM_LNC038097)
Source: RNAcentral
ACUGGAAAUAGAGUGGGGUGAGAACUAUCUUCCAUAGUUCCCAGUGGGCUCGGCCGCCGACUCUGCCGAUCUCCCCACUAGGUCCAAGUGGGCACAAGCAACAACAGAUAGAUAGAUAGAUAGAUAUCUGAAAGCUGUAAAUGCGAUAGUAGGAACAACUAUGCUACUAUGCCCAAAAUCAUGAAUAUGAAUGUAUGCAUCAUAUAAUAAAGGUUUGCUACCAUGCUAACAAAUUCGAUCCAUGUUCGAAUAGUAAUGUUCAAUGACAUUUUUAAACCUUUAUCUUUCCAUUUACCAAAUCUGUGGCGAGGCCCUGGGGCUCGUCAAUGACUCACCUUUCAAUCCCAAAGUGGGGAGGGAGCUCCAAGUGCACCCAAGCCCGGGACCGUCUGCGGACCUCCAUGUGGUCCGGACCUCCAAGUGGUCCUAAUCGCACGACACUUCGGAGUACUCGACGAUAAUCCCCUCCAUGUGGGGAUAGGAUGGCUAUACCACCCCAAAGCAGACUGUGAGCUAGAUCUAUCCUCUCCAAGUGAGGAUACACUACACUAGGAUCAACAACCCAAUCAAAUCCUGUCCAAGUGAGGAUGCUCUACAACUAGAGUCAACAUCUCUCGCGGAAUCAUCUGUUCCCGACAUUCAUGCAAUGCUAUUUAGCUUUCUAAAUUCAUUAUUCACAAGGCAUUUUCUAAGGGAUCCACCUAUCCCUAGGUUCUCAAACCUCUAGUGUUAUUUACACUACAUUAAUGCCACUCGUCAACAUUUAACGUUUGGAUGCCACUCAUGUGUUCCUUGACACUAACCACUACUUUCUAUGUCAUCAACACCCCCAUCGGGUUCAUCUCUUUUCUUUCGCAUCAUAGGAUCCACGUUCCGACCCAAUCCUCACCUAUCUAAG